UCCUUCUCUCCUUUCUCUUGUCUUCGGCCGUUUCUACCAAACACAAAGGGUUUCGGGUUUUGGUUCGUUUGAUAUUAAGGGUGAUUAACAAAAGUUGUUCGGUUCGUGAUCAAGUACUAGCAUACCUACAUUCUAACGUUGUGUGUGCGAUCGUAGAGAGGUUUAUUUUAAACCUUUUCCAUAAAGUUUCUUGCUUUAUACUCUUCAAUCUAAGCUAGUAUAUAUAUAAGGUGCAUAUAUGUGUGUCCAACUUAAUUACCUGUGGCUUGGUGGCUUCAGCAGCAAACCCAAAAGCAGCAGACAACAAUACGAGCGUGGCUAAAACCCCAAUGAUUCUUAUUCUUGGAGUUUGUUGGGAAUUAUGGAAGGUUGAUUCCAUGGGAUAUAUGCAAAAUGUCGGAAGCUAGCUGCUUCGAGUGAUCGAACGGCAAACAAGGAAAACAAGACAAUAGUUUAGGAUAAACAACUAGCUGCUUCCUUAAAGUGGACUACAGAAGAAAAGUUACAAGGAAAAGACAAUAGUUUAGGUUAAACAACUUAACAUAUUUGAACUUAACAUGGAGUUCUUAACUAAAUGAGUUUUUAGUUAAGAUGAUGUAAAAUAAUUAUGAAAAGAAAAAAUAUUGGAAUGUUAAGUUCAACUUUGGAAAGGAAAUAAAAAGGAAUACAAGUCAUCUUUGACAAUAUGUAGCUUUUUCCGAAAACUUUUAUAAUUUUGUAAAGGAGGUCAAACUUCAAAUGAUAUCCAAGGCCCAAUAUAGUAUGUUUUGACUUUUGACCCAACCCGUUAC
Erigeron canadensis is the source of this 791-nucleotide long non-coding RNA. RefSeq lists it as uncharacterized. NCBI's taxonomy places the organism in Eukaryota, Viridiplantae, Streptophyta, Magnoliopsida, Asterales, Asteraceae. The transcript is spliced from 3 exons. The record is from RefSeq and is a predicted model, not a curated record.